GAGAGUGUGGCUGAGUGGUUUAAAGCGGUAGACUGUAAAUCUAUUGUAUAAUACAACGUUGGUUCGAAUCCAACCACUUCUA
Molecule: transfer RNA, 82 nt
Filed under: Genlisea aurea
Lineage: Eukaryota; Viridiplantae; Streptophyta; Magnoliopsida; Lamiales; Lentibulariaceae
Rfam family: tRNA
About the family: Transfer RNA (tRNA) molecules are approximately 80 nucleotides in length. Their secondary structure includes four short double-helical elements and three loops (D, anti-codon, and T loops).
Source: Rfam by way of RNAcentral